GAGUUUGAUCGUGGCUCAGGACGAACGCUGGCGGCGUGCUUAACACAUGCAAGUCACGGGGGCCCGCAAGGGCAACCGGCGAACGGGUGCGUAACACGUGAGCAAGCUUCCGAUUUGUGGGGGAUAGCCGGCCUAACGGCCGGGUAAUACCGCAUACGUUCACUGGGCGGCAUCGUCUGGUGAGGAAACCUCCGGGGCAAAUCGAGGCGCUCGCGGCCUAUCAGCUAGUUGGCGGGGUAAUGGCCCACCAAGGCGACGACGGGUAGCUGGUCUGAGAGGAUGGCCAGCCACAUUGGGACUGCGACACGGCCCAGACUCCUACGGGAGGCAGCAGUGGGGAAUAUUGCGCAAUGGACGAAAGUCUGACGCAGCGACGCCGCGUGUGGGAUGAAGCUCUUCGGGGUGUAAACCACUGUUGCCCGGGACGAAAUGCCCUUUCGAGGGAAUUGACGGUACCGGGUGAGGAAGCACCGGCUAACUCUGUGCCAGCCGCCGCCGUAAC
Molecule: ribosomal RNA, 502 nt
Filed under: uncultured Gemmatimonadota bacterium
Lineage: Bacteria; Pseudomonadati; Gemmatimonadota
Description: bacterial SSU rRNA
Rfam family: Bacterial small subunit ribosomal RNA
Source: RNAcentral